CCUACGGGGGGCAGCAGUGAGGAAUAUUGGUCAAUGGACGAGAGUCUGAACCAGCCAAGUAGCGUGAAGGAUGACUGCCCUAUGGGUUGUAAACUUCUUUUAUAAAGGAAUAAAACGAGGCACGUGUGCCUUUUUGCAUGUACUUUAUGAAUAAGGAUCGGCUAACUCCGUGCCAGCAGCCGCGGUAAUACGGAGGAUCCGAGCGUUAUCCGGAUUUAUUGGGUUUAAAGGGAGCGUAGAUGGGUUGUUAAGUCAGUUGUGAAAGUUUGCGGCUCAACCGUAAAAUUGCAAUUGAUACUGGCAGUCGUGAGUACAGUUGAGGUAGGCGGAAUUCGUGGUGUAGCGGUGAAAUGCUUAGAUAUCACGAAGAACCCCGAUUGCGAAGGCAGCUUACUAACCUGUGACUGACAUUGAUGCUCGAAAGUGUGGGUAUCAAACAGGAUUAGAUACCCGGGUAGUC
Molecule: ribosomal RNA, 460 nt
Filed under: uncultured bacterium
Lineage: Bacteria
Description: partial 16S ribosomal RNA
Rfam family: Bacterial small subunit ribosomal RNA
Source: RNAcentral